This 467-nucleotide ribosomal RNA is filed under the name uncultured bacterium. Its description in RNAcentral is "partial 16S ribosomal RNA". It matches the Rfam family "Bacterial small subunit ribosomal RNA", at positions 28 to 506 of the family's 1533-position model. The record is from RNAcentral.
GACGAACGCUGGCGGCGUGCUUAACACAUGCAAGUCGAACGGAAAGGCCCUGCUUUUGUGGGGUGCUCGAGUGGCGAACGGGUGAGUAACACGUGAGUAACCUGCCCUUGACUUUGGGAUAACUUCAGGAAACUGGGGCUAAUACCGGAUAGGAGCUCCUGCUGCAUGGUGGGGGUUGGAAAGUUUCGGCGGUUGGGGAUGGACUCGCGGCUUAUCAGCUUGUUGGUGGGGUAGUGGCUUACCAAGGCUUUGACGGGUAGCCGGCCUGAGAGGGUGACCGGCCACAUUGGGACGGAGAUACGGCCCAGCCUCCUACGGGAGGCAGCAGUGGGGAAUAUUGCACAAUGGGCGGAAGCCUGAUGCAGCAACGCCGCGUGCGGGAUGACGGCCUUCGGGUUGUAAACCGCUUUCGCCUGUGACGAAGCGUGAGUGACGGUAAUGGGUAAAGAAGCACCGGCUAACUACGU